UACAGAGGGGGCAGGCGUUGUUCGGAAUUACUGGGCGUAAAGGGCGCGUAGGCGGCCUGUUAAGUCGAACGUGAAAUCCCCGGGCUCAACCCGGGAACUGCGUCCGAUACUGGCAGGCUUGAAUCCGGGAGAGGGAUGCGGAAUUCCAGGUGUAGCGGUGAAAUGCGUAGAUAUCUGGAGGAACACCGGUGGCGAAGGCGGCAUCCUGGACCGGCAUUGACGCUGAGGCGCGAAAGCCAGGGGAGCAAACGGG
Molecule: ribosomal RNA, 253 nt
Filed under: uncultured bacterium
Lineage: Bacteria
Description: partial 16S ribosomal RNA
Rfam family: Bacterial small subunit ribosomal RNA
Source: RNAcentral